AUACUGAGAUAAUGUUAACUACAACUAUAGUUGACAAGGAAGCAUUUUACAUGUUGGCUACUUGCACCACGAUACUGGACUAGUGUUAACUACAACUACAGUUGACAAGGAAACAUUUUACAUGUUGGCUACUUGCACCACGAUACUGGACUAGUGU
This is a long non-coding RNA of Limulus polyphemus (Atlantic horseshoe crab), 157 nucleotides long. RefSeq lists it as uncharacterized. Lineage: Eukaryota; Metazoa; Arthropoda; Merostomata; Xiphosura; Limulidae. The transcript is spliced from 3 exons. The record is from RefSeq and is a predicted model, not a curated record.